Molecule: non-coding RNA, 165 nt
Organism: Pelobates cultripes (western spadefoot toad)
Lineage: Eukaryota; Metazoa; Chordata; Amphibia; Anura; Pelobatidae
Source: the annotation of a GenBank genome assembly
UUCAAUAGGCUUCCCAACGACAAGGCGACGGCGCAUUCGUAUGUCAUCCAUAUCAACUUUCAAUGCCAUUUACUGUGCCUACCAUGGUGACCACGGGUAACGGGAAAUCAGGGUUUGAUUCUGGAGAGGGAGCCUGAGAAACGGCUACCACAUGCAAGGAAGGCA